GAUGAACGCUGGCGGCGUGCCUAAUACAUGCAAGUCGAGCGAACGGACGAGAAGCUUGCUUCUCUGAUGUUAGCGGCGGACGGGUGAGUAACACGUGGAUAACCUACCUAUAUGACUGGGAGAACUUCGGGAAACCGGAGCUAAUACCGGAUGAUAUUUUGAACCGCAUGGUUCAAAAGUGAAAGACGGUCUUGCUGUCACUUAUAGAUGGAUCCGCGCUGCAUUAGCUAGUUGGUAAGGUAACGGCUUACCAAGGCAACGAUGCAUAGCCGACCUGAGAGGGUGAUCGGCCACACUGGAACUGAGACACGGUCCAGACUCCUACGGGAGGCAGCAGUAGGGAAUCUUCCGCAAUGGGCGAAAGCCUGACGGAGCAACGCCGCGUGAGUGAUGAAGGUCUUCGGAUCGUAAAACUCUGUUAUUAGGGAAGAACAUAUGUGUAAGUAACUGUGCGCAUCUUGACGGUACCUAAUCAGAAAGCCACGGCUAACUACGUG
RNAcentral lists this ribosomal RNA (497 nucleotides) under uncultured bacterium. Its description in RNAcentral is "partial 16S ribosomal RNA". It matches the Rfam family "Bacterial small subunit ribosomal RNA", at positions 28 to 507 of the family's 1533-position model. The record is from RNAcentral.